UGGGGAAUAUUGCACAAUGGGCGCAAGCCUGAUGCAGCAACGCCGCGUGAAUGAUGAAGGCCUUCGGGUCGUAAAGUUCUGUCCAAAGGGAAGAAUACAGUGACGGUACCUUUGGAGGAAGCCCCGGCUAACUACGUGCCAGCAGCCGCGGUAAUACGUAGGGGGCAAGCGUUAUCCGGAAUCACUGGGCGUAAAGGGAGCGUAGGCGAUUUGACAAGCCAGGGGUGAAAGGCAAUAGCUUAACUAUUGUAAGCCUUUGGAACUGUCGAACUUGAGUGCAGGAGAGGAAAGUGGAAUUCCUAGUGUAGCGGUGAAAUGCGUAGAUAUUAGGAGGAACACCAGUGGCGAAGGCGACUUUCUGGACUGUAACUGACGCUGAGGCUCGAAAGCGUGGGGAGCGAACA
RNAcentral lists this ribosomal RNA (404 nucleotides) under uncultured bacterium. RNAcentral's name for it is "bacterial SSU rRNA". It matches the Rfam family "Bacterial small subunit ribosomal RNA", at positions 355 to 774 of the family's 1533-position model. The record is from RNAcentral.